ACAGUGUAUCUAAACAAGUUGGCUGCUGGAUCAAUCUCUGCCAUGGAUUUUGUACCAUUUCUUUUAGUCUUUUUUCUGGGAAAAAAAAAAAAAAAAAAAAAAAUUGUGUUGGCAAUAUAUUAAUUCUGAACUAGUGUAUGAAAUAGCUGAAAGAAAUGUAUUCAUUUUAUGAAGAAGCCCAUAAUAAAUUGAUAAAAGCUUAUCUUUGCUCUGGGUUCAGGAAAAGAACUGCACGUGGCUGCCCGGUUCACUUUUGAUAAUGGGAAGUAAAGAACCAUCCCAAAAGACAAAUCUCAGGAAGCAGAUGAGAGGACCAAGCACACUCUACAGAUUGAGCCUCAGUGCCUCUGGGAUUUUAACAUGCGCAGCAAAGUUAAUAGAAGGACGUCUGAAAGAGCUGGCAGGAGAAGGCUGAGCAAGAGUAGAUGUUGGCUGAGAUGUCAGCAAAAACAGUGAUGUCUUAUUUAGAUAUCUCAGGCUCCACUUACAGUUGGCUGGGACCACUGGAUAAAGAUGACUACGUUUUGCUAAUGAAUUGAUAGUGAAGAAAAUCGUCAACCCUGAAAAAAAUUCUACCAGAGGAGAGAUAGAAAAUUACGCUGUUUAUAUGAAGAAGAAUUGAUCAGAUGUAUUUGCUUCCUGCUGUGACAUAAAGCAAAAUUGUUCAGAAGCUACAUCAAUUUGCCUGUCAAAUUUAUAGGCUCAUGUGAAUAAAGACAGAAUCACUUUACA
Molecule: long non-coding RNA, 732 nt
Filed under: Coturnix japonica (Japanese quail)
Lineage: Eukaryota; Metazoa; Chordata; Aves; Galliformes; Phasianidae
Description: lncRNA (ENSCJPG00005011128.1)
Source: RNAcentral